UGCUUAACACAUGCAAGUCGAACGGAAAGGUCUCUUCGGAGAUACUCGAGUGGCGAACGGGUGAGUAACACGUGGGCAAUCUGCCCUGCACUUCGGGAUAAGCCUGGGAAACUGGGUCUAAUACCGGAUAGGACCACUUGGCGCAUGCCUUGUGGUGGAAAGCUUUUGCGGUGUGGGAUGGGCCCGCGGCCUAUCAGCUAGUUGGUGGGGUGAUGGCCUACCAAGGCGACGACGGGUAGCCGGCCUGAGAGGGUGUCCGGCCACACUGGGACUGAGAUACGGCCCAGACUCCUACGGGAGGCAGCAGUGGGGAAUAUUGCACAAUGGGCGCAAGCCUGAUGCAGCGACGCCGCGUGGGGGAUGACGGCCUUCGGGUUGUAAACCUCUUUCAGCAGGGACGAAGCGCAAGUGACGGUACCUGCAGAAGAAGCACCGGCCAACUACGUGCCAGCAGCCGCGGUAAUACGUAGGGUGCGAGCGUUGUCCGGAAUUACUGGGCGUAAAGAGCUCGUAGGUGGUUUGUCGCGUUGUUCGUGAAA
This 539-nucleotide ribosomal RNA is filed under the name Mycobacterium parascrofulaceum. Its description in RNAcentral is "bacterial SSU rRNA". It matches the Rfam family "Bacterial small subunit ribosomal RNA", at positions 45 to 599 of the family's 1533-position model. The record is from RNAcentral. Lineage: Bacteria; Bacillati; Actinomycetota; Actinomycetes; Mycobacteriales; Mycobacteriaceae.